CUCCAAUAGCGUAUAUUAAAGUUGUUGCGGUUAAAAAGCUCGUAGUUGGAUCUGUGUCCCGCGCCGUCGGUUCACCGCCUGUCGGUGUUAAACUGGCGUGUAUGCGGGACGUCCUGUCGGUGGUGGAACGGGGCUUCGCAAACCGUAGGGGUGUCCAGGUCUCCUGCGACUCCCCGAAGGCUGGCGUGAGCUUCCGGCCACCUUGUCAAUCCCGCCGCGGUGCUCUUCACCGAGUGUCGAGGCGGGCCGGCACGUUUACUUUGAACAAAUUAGAGUGCUUUAAGCAGGCUCUUUCCCGCCUGCAUAUUGUGUGCAUGGAAUAAUGGAAUAGGACCUCGGUUCUAUUUUGUUGGUUUCCGGAAUCUGAGGUAAUGAUCAAUGGGGACAGGCGGGGGCAUUCGUAUUGCGACGUUAGAGGUGAAAUUCUUGGAUCGUCGCAAGACGGACCGAAGCGAAAGCAUUUGCCAAGUAUGUUCUCGUCGAUCAAGAACGAAAGUUAGAGGUUCGAAGGCGAUCAGAUACCGCCCUAGUUCUAACCAUAAACUAUGCCUGCCAGCGAUCCGCCGGCGUUCCUCCGAUGACCCGGCGGGCAGCUUCCGGGAAACCAGAGCUUUUGGGUUCCGGGGGAAGUAUGGUUGCAAAGCUGAAACUUAAAGGAAUUGACGGAAGGGCACCACCAGGAGUGGAGCCUGCGGCUUUAAUUUGACUCAACACGGGAAAACUCACCAGGCCCGGACACCGGAAGGAUUGACAGAUUGAGAGCUCUUUCUUGAUUCGGUGGGUGGUGGUGCAUGGCCGUUCUUAGUUGGUGGAGCGAUUUGUCUGGUUAAUUCCGAUAACGAACGAGACUCUAGCCUACUAACUAGACGUUUCCGGUAUCCACAAUCGUGCUACCGGCGAGUAUAUUUCUUCUUAGAGGGACAGGCGGCUUCUAGCCGCACGAGACUGAGCAAUAACAGGUCUGUGAUGCCCUUAGAUGUCCUGGGCCGCACGCGCGCUACACUGAAGGAAUCAGCGUGUCUUCCCUGUCCGAAAGGACCGGGUAACCCGCUGAACCUCCUUCGUGCUAGGGAUUGGGGCUUGCAAUUGUUCCCCAUGAACGAGGAAUUCCCAGUAAGCGCGAGUCAUAAGCUCGCGUUGAUUACGUCCCUGCCCUUUGUACACACCGCCCGUCGCUACUACCGAUUGAAUGAUUUAGUGAGGUCUUCGGACUGGUGCGCGAAGGUGGCUUCGGCUGCUUUCGAUGUUGUCGGAAAGAUGACCAAACUUGAUCAUUUAGAGGAAGUAAAAGUCGUAACAAGGUUUCGA
This 1308-nucleotide ribosomal RNA is filed under the name Oecleopsis tiantaiensis. RNAcentral describes it as "SSU rRNA". It matches the Rfam family "Eukaryotic small subunit ribosomal RNA", at positions 589 to 1805 of the family's 1831-position model. The record is from RNAcentral. Lineage: Eukaryota; Metazoa; Arthropoda; Insecta; Hemiptera; Cixiidae.